GCCUCGGUGGUCUAACUGGUAAGGACACUCACACGGAAUGUAAGAGAUCCGGGUUCGACUCCCGGCCGAGGUA
RNAcentral lists this transfer RNA (73 nucleotides) under Mycetomoellerius zeteki. RNAcentral describes it as "Trachymyrmex zeteki tRNA". It matches the Rfam family "tRNA". From Rfam's summary of the family: Transfer RNA (tRNA) molecules are approximately 80 nucleotides in length. Lineage: Eukaryota; Metazoa; Arthropoda; Insecta; Hymenoptera; Formicidae. The record is from Rfam by way of RNAcentral.